AUUGAACGCUGGCGGCAGGCCUAACACAUGCAAGUCGAGCGGAGCGGGGGAGGGGGGAGUAAGGGCUAGGAAUGUGCAUGGGAGUGGGGGAUAACGUCAGGAAACGGGAGCUAAUACAGAAUACUAUCAGAUGAGCCUAGGUCGGAUUAGCUAGUUGGUGGGGUAGAGGCAUACCAAGGCGACGAUCCGUAACUGGUCUGAGAGGAUGAGCAGUCACACUGGAACUGAGACACGGUCCAGACUCCUACGGGAGGCAGCAGUGGGGAAUAUUGGACAAUGGGCGCAAGCCUGAUCCAGCCAUGCCGCGUGUGUGAAGAAGGUCUUCGGAUUGUAAAGCACUUUAAGUUGGGAGGCGUUACCAACAGAAUAAGCACCGGCUAACUUCGUGCCAGCAGCCGCGGUAAUUC
Molecule: ribosomal RNA, 407 nt
Filed under: uncultured bacterium
Lineage: Bacteria
Description: partial 16S ribosomal RNA
Rfam family: Bacterial small subunit ribosomal RNA
Source: RNAcentral